Molecule: long non-coding RNA, 357 nt
Filed under: Elaeis guineensis (African oil palm)
Lineage: Eukaryota; Viridiplantae; Streptophyta; Magnoliopsida; Arecales; Arecaceae
Description: long non-coding RNA (EGUI_LNC030837)
Source: RNAcentral
CAUCUUUUAACUCAAGAACCAUAGAAUGGAUAUGAAAAAUGUAAUGGUUUUGUAAAAUUUGUUUGAAUGAUAAGUCUCCCCCAAAAAUUCACCUGUGAGGCAUUAUUAUAUUUUGUAUGGUAAGGCAGAGCAAAAGAAAAUGGCAAGAAAUUGGCCACUCAAAGUUCUCGGGACCAAAUAAAAAAUCACCCAUACUUUCUUUGGUUGAUGCAUUGGUGAGAAAUCUGAUGAUACCUGAGAGCCAAGGCAAAAGGGAUUUUGCAAACAGUUAUGACCUCUUGGAAAAAGGGAGGAUUGUGAUUAUGCAACUGUAACAUAACUGGAGUGGCAUUUUGUCAUUUUUUUUAAAGGAUCCAG